This 66-nucleotide transfer RNA is filed under the name Mortonagrion selenion. RNAcentral's name for it is "tRNA-Leu". Lineage: Eukaryota; Metazoa; Arthropoda; Insecta; Odonata; Coenagrionidae. The record is from RNAcentral.
GUUACUGUGCAACUCAGUUUAAUUUGAUUAAUUAAUUAAUUACUUAUUUUUUAUAUGUGUUUAUAU